GACGAACGCUGGCGGCGUGCUUAACACAUGCAAGUCGAACGGGAAGGCCCUGCUUUUGUGGGGUGCUCGAGUGGCGAACGGGUGAGUAACACGUGAGUAACCUGCCCUUGACUUUGGGAUAACUUCAGGAAACUGGGGCUAAUACCGGAUAGGAGCUCCUGCUGCAUGGUGGGGGUUGGAAAGUUUCGGCGGUUGGGGAUGGACUCGCGGCUUAUCGGCUUGUUGGUGGGGUAGUGGCUUACCAAGGCUUUGACGGGUAGCCGGCCUGAGAGGGUGACCGGCCAUAUUGGGACUGAGAUACGGCCCAGACUCCUACGGGAGGCAGCAGUGGGGAAUAUUGCACAAUGGGCGGAAGCCUGAUGCAGCAACGCCGCGUGCGGGAUGACGGCCUUCGGGUUGUAAACCGCUUUCGCCUGUGACGAAGCGUGAGUGACGGAAAUGGGUAAAGAAGCACCGGCUAACUACGUG
RNAcentral lists this ribosomal RNA (468 nucleotides) under uncultured bacterium. RNAcentral's name for it is "partial 16S ribosomal RNA". It matches the Rfam family "Bacterial small subunit ribosomal RNA", at positions 28 to 507 of the family's 1533-position model. The record is from RNAcentral.